AUGAAUAUUCAGUGCCGUAGCUGGUGCGUUCCGCGAAAAAGAAGGACGACGAAUCUAUGCAUAGGCAGUGUGCUUUGUCGUAUCCGAGCCGACCGAGAAUUCAGGAAAAUUGUCUCUGCUUUAAUACAGCGAUAUUUUAAUUAUUUUCAAUCGGAAAAAAAUUUCAGUGCUUUGCAAUUACCUAAGUGCUUGAAACGAGGAAGGUACCGAUAAACCCACCCGAAAUCGAACAAUGAUCUAACGAGAGACGAGAUAAAAUCCCGGUGGCUCGACCGUAAAGUUUGGACAUUUUCAGAUAGGUUAACGACUUGCUUACUGAUUUCUAAACAAAUCGGCUGGAUGACGGUGCUAAUCUUCAGUUUCCCUCCACCGGUUCGUCAUGUUGUACAUUUUCAAGCGGCUAAGAAAAGUAAGUUUCCUCUUUAGUUGUACAUGAUGUUACUUCAAGAAGUUUUCGAAUACCUUUCUGUUCGUAAAGCGAGCUCGUCUUAAGUUUAAAUUCCGAUUAUUCGAUAGACAUCCCUCAUCCUACUUUUUCCCGUUGUCGUGCGGUUCACACGGGAGAAAGAUGAUCUGAUCGUGCCUGCUGGUGUGAGUGUGCGAUAGCAAGUAUUUCACUUCAAAAAAUCAUAGAUUUUUCUUUUGAUGGGUGUUAUAAAGAAUGCGUAGAACAUGGGAGUUCGUAAAAGGGUUGGAAUAAAACCGUUCGGCACCAGCUGGAUUUUGAAGUAGAUCCAACAAACUACGGGGAGAAUUUAAAAGAUAACAAAAACUUGGAAUGGAAAUUUAGAUUGUAUUAAAAACCGAAAGAAACAGAAUUACAAAAGAUGUCACACUUUGAAAUGUGCAGAGGGAAGAGAGAGAGCACAUACGCACUAGUGCGGGUCGAGAUGGUAAAAAGACCUAGAUUUUAGGGCAGCACAAGCUUUUAUAGACUUGCUGACGUCACAGGUGGUGAGACAACAAGACUACACGCUAUUGGCUGGCUAUAAUCAGUGGAGCUAUCAGUUGCAAGUUCAGUAAUAAAAAUAAUAGGCAAUUUUAGGUGAUGGCUGGGAGACAUGAAUGGAAAAGAGUAAAGUGAACGGAUUCCAGCCAUCCCUAAUGACUAGAGUGAAUUGGAAUAAAAUUGAAAAAUGUAAAGUAAAAAUAUGAGGAGGUGUUGACAAUGGGUUUGUCCUUUUCAUGAGCUUGCUUGAAUUUCAAAUCACAGGAUGUUACGUAUCUAAGGGUAAAAGUACCUCGGUAAAGAAAAACUCAAAAUCGAGAUGAGUAUUGAUAUAUAUUUUUUUAUAUAAUAAACAUUCGAAGGAUUUUACCUUUUCACUUUUCACUUUUUCAUCCACUCCACAUUUCAUUCCAGUCCGCCGUUGCCAGAUUGUGCGAUAGUGUGAAUAUUUUACAUGGGUUUUAAAGGGAAAAGUACUGGAAAAACAGCAUAUCUGGCAACAGUAGAGUCUGGAAAGGAUGAGAGGCUUCUUUCCUGGGAAAACCGUGAUUUAUCCAGAAAUGUCAUUAAACAAGUUGGUUCCGUUCGAAGCAACAAAUGUAUUCUAGGGUAAGCUAUUUUAAAAUAAUAAUUGUAAAUGGGCACAGAUGCUGCAAAAAAGCAAAAAUGAAAAGAAAAAAAAAAGAUGAGAAUAAAACGUGAACAGUUCUAUUUUUCUAAUUUCUUACCUUCGGUGCAUAUAUUUUAGACACUCUUUAGUAUAGAUUUUCAUUUUUGGUCUCUCUUUCAAUUAGGUAUUAUACUUUACGUAAGGCAGUGCUUGACUUUCUCCCCAUCAUCCCCUACAGUGAGGCGCCUCUUGACCCCCCCUCUCCACCCCCCGAAUGCCUCACUUGAUAUAUGGACUUAAUAUUUGAGGGUGCCUCCGAAUAUCGUUUCUUGGUCAAUGAACAGUGCAAUUUGCAUCUUUAAAAUUGUCCAAUCUUAUGACAUAAAAGAAAAUCCAAAAUAUUUCUGCAAGCUUAAAUUUCAGCUAGAGUGUUAGAAUGUCCAAUUUACGGAAUAUAUAUGCAAAGCUAGCUUGACAAGUAGCUUUUUUCGAACAGGCAACCCAUGUUGCAGCAAUAUGGUGUACGCACGAGUAGAUGAAAAUUAAUCUCAGCUGCAAUUGGGCCUAGGAUUUCAUUUCUUUUUUUCAAUUUUAGGGCGGAAAUUAUUUAUCGGAUGUGAACUACUUUCGGUAAGGAUUUUUACAUAAUUUAAUUUGAAAAAUCACUCCGUUCGGUCUGUCUCUGAAAUUGCAUCAUCAAUUAUUUUGUAAUAUAACAAGGUGCAUGGCAUGGUAUGCAAGUCAAUUAUGCAGAUAUCUGCCUCACGCAGAGUUCCACAAAAUAAGGAGGUGUUUCCGACUUUUUUCAUGAGAUUUCUUCAUUAUUUUUCUCACAGAAGUAGCACAUCGACGGUGAAACUACCAGACCACGUAUCUCGGUUUGUGACGUCGCAGACUUCCUGUCAUACUUCAUUUUUUAAAUGAAAAACAACUCAACGUCAAUUCUUGAAAACUUCCGUGAUUCUUCUUCUUUGAGUGACGAAAAAAGCUGUGAAAACUUCAUUGAAUGAUAUUGGUUUGUUUUCCUCAACAAAAAUAAAAUGGGAGGAGAGAUUUUUAAACACCGCAAACGAGAUACGUGGUCUGGGAGUUCUACCGUCGACAUGUUGUAAUGGAUUGCAAUUAUUCCACUACUGCUAUUAAUACUGCCGUGCCAAGGAAAAACGCCGUAUGAACCUCCAGGCGUUGCCAAAUUUCCUUUGAUAAAACAAGCAUCUCCUGGUAAAAUUUUAAAUAUUUUCUUCCAAUUUUUCAGAUAAUUUUGCUCGUAAUUUCACCUUAAAUUCUUAAGAAUUUCACGGAAGAAUAUUCAUAACUUUCCUCAAAAAAACAUUUUAACGAAGGAAAUUUGGCAACUCCCGAAUGUUCAUGCGGCGCGGCGUUCUUCCUUAGCACGGCAGAAUACUACUGUGUUUGAGUGUUGUGUAUGUUGCCUAUCUACUAAUUGAAGGAGCCGCUAUCAUUGAAGUGUACUGCAAUGAAAUGGAUGAACGCAUUGAACGCAAACGUCGCGUCGGCUGCGAUUCAUCAAACAACCGAGUUUAGUUGUUCACUUUUAAAGAGUGUCUUCCUUCUUCAGUUGUCAGUAUGUCAAGUUGAAUCCUAAAAUGAUCCAAAUGCAUUCGUAGUUUGCUUCUAAACGAAACUUGACAAUGCCGUGGCGUGCUUUGCGAUGUAUCGACUGAUCUGCCAUUUAAACCCAUGGUAAAGGAUCGAUAAACAGGGUGUUCGCUACGAACACCUUAAUAAUUACAGUAGAGUCUCGAUUGUCCGCGAUAAUUUGGACCGGCGAUACCGCGGAUAAUCAAAAAUCGCGGAUAAUCCGAAUCUACGGAAGACGGCCGGAAAAAGUCAUCGGAAAGACUGUAUUUUAAAGGAAUUAGUAGACACGAAAAGAAAAGUGUGAGGGGUUAUCCCUAAAAUUGUGGUACUACCCCAAUUUGGUGGAUGAUAUGGACAUUUCUAAUUAAUUUGGUAUUAUCGCAACUCAAGUUGGGGUAGCACCGCAACAUUUGGGUUGGUAACCUAAUUUAUUAGGGUACUACCACAAUUAAUCGGGGUAUUGUCACAAAUAUCGGGGUAUUACCACAAUUCAUUGGGGGUAUUACCACAAUUAAUUGGAAAUGCUCAUAUCAUCCAACAGUUGGGACUUAACCCUUACCUCUUUCUUUCAGUGAAGACACUUACCAUGCAUUAGAAAAGAAUAUAAUUAUUAACUAAAAAUCAAUAAACGUUAACUGUUAAACAAAUUAAACUUUAUUUCUUGAAGAAUUUCUUGAUGGAAGAUUGAGUCAUGGAUUUGAACCUUUUUUCGACCAACCAAGAGUUGAAAGUGCUCCGACCCUUUUCUACCUUCGUUUUUAACACUCAGGUAACAAUGAAGACCUGCACGUGCGCGUACAAAUGAAAAGAUGGUUUUCCCAAAGAGGAGACACUGAAAAAAAAGUAGCUUGGAUCAAGCAUGAUGAUUCUUGAAUUUGCCGCCAAGAAUUUUUUUUAUCUUGCUUUAAGCUGACUUUUCUUGAUACAAGAAAAAUGAUGCUUGGAUUAAGCAAAAUAGUAGCUUAUAUUAACCAGAAAAAUUCUUGAUUUAAGAAGAAAUUCUUCUUGGCGGCAAAUUUAAGAUUCCUUUUUUUCCAGUGGAGGAAUGACCCGAAUGUCUCCGUUCGGUCCCGGUCGCAUUCAAAAGAAAUAGAAAAAGUAAAAAAAAAGUCCGCUCCACGGACCGCGGAUAAUCCGCAUCGCGGAUAAUCCGAAUCGCGGAUAACCGAAGCGCGGAUAAUAGAGACUCUACUGUAAUGCUUAACCAUAGCUUGAAAUGGGGAAAUAUCGAUCGAUCACUCAGGCCUCGCCGCUGAAACU
This 4421-nucleotide long non-coding RNA is filed under the name Bemisia tabaci. RNAcentral's name for it is "lncRNA ENSSSA3NGG012267". The record is from RNAcentral. Lineage: Eukaryota; Metazoa; Arthropoda; Insecta; Hemiptera; Aleyrodidae.